AUCCCAACUUUAAUUAAUAGGAAAAUAUUAAUUAGAGAUGUUAUUGGAAACUAAAUAGAAAUGAGAGUACAAGUAUUAAGGGAUACUCAAAUGACACAAGCACACUUUGAAGUUAAGUGAAAGGAUAAAAUGGUAAUUAAACUAUGCCUAUAUAAGGUCAUCACACUCACUCUACCUCCUAUUUUCAUAAAGCAAUUUCAGAGCACCUCACCCCAACACUCUCUUCUCUCUCCGUGUCCUUCAUUACCACCCCCAACAUCAAAGCUCACCCCACUAAUAUCACUUCAAUGUUGCAUGCAAGUUAGGAAUUGAAUUCUUUGAGUCUCAAGAAGCAAGGUUAGAACCCAUAACUUCCUUCUCCUUCCCUCUGCCACGCAAUAAUCUCCCUCUCCACCUUAACCCAAAUCAUUCUUAGCCUCCAAACCCUUAUUCACUAAACUGCUCAUUCAUUUCCAAUCCUUCAACUUAUGGUGGUUGCAUGUGAAAUUAAAGCACUUAUGAACCUUUGGGUAUUUGAUAUAAACUGGGAUUUAAAGUGGAAGUGAACAGAAAUGGAAGAUUUAAGGAGUUGAAGAUGGAAGCUUGGUUUGGUGAAGUUUGGAAGAAUUUAUGUAAAAACCAGUAUUUCUGGACAUACACUCACUAAAAAGCCUCGUGAGAUUUGGUGGAGAAAUAAGGUCUGUGCGAAUUUUUGAAAUGAAAGGUUCAAUACAGGAUUUUGCAGAUUUCGUGUUUGGACAAGGCUGCACUUAAAUGGUGAGUUCUCACUCUCUAUAAUUCUGUUUGAAAUCUCGUUUGUUUCUAUGGAUAGCUAACUCAAUUACGGUCGUCUUGGUUCCGGUUUGGUAUAUUUUGGAUGAGUAAUGAGCUCAGAGGACGCAUUUAAAGUUGGAGGUCUGAAGCUGCGUUAUGCAGAAAAUUCUGUUGCGAAUUUGCGUAUUCGAGUGGCACAAUCGGAUGGUUGUUAAGCGUGCGGGACAACUCGGUACUGCAAUUCAUAUCAGACAAGCAGGUUGAUUGAGAUAUCUUGGUUUGUUAGCACGAAGAUUCAGAUACGUGGAUUACGUUAUGGAGCUGACAUCAUGUUAAUCUUAUUAUUAUAUAAGAUUCGGUUUAUUUGAGUUUAGUAGUUAGCUCAAUCAUGUAUUCAUUUAGUGGAUUAUUGUAAUCCUAUUGAUGUAUUUGAUCUUGAUGUAGUGAAAAAUUAAUGUUUCCCGAUUCAGUUAUGUACACUCUUGUUGAUAUUCUAGAUAAAUUGACAUGAGAUGUUAUAAUUGGUAUCAGAGCCUGGUUGGGGGGUACACACAAAAAUAUGAGACACUGGCUGGUGUGAAUAGGUUAUCUAAUAAACUGAUUGCUAAGGAACUGUCA
This is a long non-coding RNA of Trifolium pratense (red clover), 1371 nucleotides long. RefSeq lists it as uncharacterized. The transcript has 3 exons. The record is from RefSeq and is a predicted model, not a curated record. Lineage: Eukaryota; Viridiplantae; Streptophyta; Magnoliopsida; Fabales; Fabaceae.